Molecule: non-coding RNA, 990 nt
Organism: Pelobates cultripes (western spadefoot toad)
Lineage: Eukaryota; Metazoa; Chordata; Amphibia; Anura; Pelobatidae
Source: the annotation of a GenBank genome assembly
CUAGCUUUCUUGGGGGUUGGAGGGAUUCCCCUACUAUCAGGUGUGCUGCCUCCCAUCCUAGUGUCCUUAGUUCGUUUAGCGCUGGUCUACUCCUUGUUCAGUUUACACCUAGUUAUCAAUUAGCAAACAUUGGCAUUUUGUACCUUUUUAAGCUAAAUUAGUUUUUUUUAAAGCAAUAUUAGACAGUAGAAACUAAUUAUCUACCAUCAAUUAUCUACUAUAGAUAGUGUUCCUUUAAGUAACUAGUAAUUUUCUCUGGGUGCAAACCCUAAUGUAAUGUGCGGAACAUGUUUAUGGUCAUGACAUAUCCCUGCCUUUCUAUGUUAUGUCCCCCUCCUCUGUACCCAUGAACAGAACAGAUGUAAUUUUCUAGUUUGUCAUUAAAGAGACACUGUAGGCACAAAAACAACUUUACUCCUGCAGUCUCACUUCUACAUCCACAGAUAAAACCGUUCUGCUACAUCCCCAGAGAACAGCAGCAUUUAUAAUUUGCUGGUUUUUUAGAGGAGGUGAGAUUAAGAGAAUUAUAGACUUAAAAUAGAAAUCUGUCAUUUCAUAUUGUCCAAUUUAAAUGGCAGACUAAUUUACUGUGUCAGGAAUAGCUCCCAUUAUUCAUUGCCAAUGCAAACCAUCAGCAUGAGACUGGCCACUGGUUGGCCAGCCUCAUGCUGAUGGUCUUAUGGCUUGACUGGUGUGCAUAUUUUUGGUUAACGUUGUAUUAACUAUUCACAGACUUCAGGUGGAAGGGGUUUUCAAUCACAUUUUUUCCCCCACCAUAACCUUUUUGGUUUUUGCUUCCCAGGCAUUACCGGCUCUCAGUGGCCAACCAGUGGCCAACCUCAUGCGGAUGGUUUGCAUUGGUAAUGAAACAGUUGUCCACAAGUGGUUCACUGACUUUGCAUCUAUUCCUAAGUUGUGUUUCAAAGCGAAUCCAUGUUUAAAAUGGAAUGAGGUAAAAAUUUGAUUCUUUGUUGAACUAAUUUGCAUAUG